ACUAAGGGUGCAUUCGCGUUGGACGCUUACGCGCUGUGAGCGCUCACGCUUAUAAGCACAAAUUUUUAGUGUUCGAGAUGGCCUAUAGGCGCUUAGAAUCAAUAAAUAAAUUUCGUUCGUUUUGGAUAUUGUGAGCGUCAAUAAUCAUCAACAUGGCAACUGUUUAUCAAAUAAUUUAAAUUUUUAUUUUUUAAAUUUUAAUUUAAUUGUAAAUUUUAUUACUUUCUGGAUCAGUUAGCUCAACAGAAAUUAAUUUUGGUUGACUGCUUGCCAUUUUUGCGGGAUUGUAAAGAAUUUAACAAUUUAGAAAUAAAUGAAAUUUUUUGGUUAGCUUAUGCUCAAGUUGCAUUCGUUUUGACAGAUAAUAAAAAUUGGCGCUCACGCUUUCGCUGCCCUACCUCUGUGGCGUGAGCAUAAAUGAGCGCGAAGUCUGUGCUACGAACUCAGCCAUGAGCGUACUUAUGUGACACUCACAGCGCCAAGUCGAACGAUGAAAAUGACAUGUAAGCACGCUCACAGCGCGUAAGCGUCCAACGCGAAUGCACCCUAAGUGUUUGUUUUGUACUUAACCCCACGCCACGUGCUGAUAAUAUGUACGUCUUUUUCAUUGAAUGCAAGCUGGGCGUCACAGAAACUCGAGCGGGGUGUUUAGAGUUGUAGAAUUAUAUUCACCGACGGGUUGUAUUUGUUAGCGGUAGAAGUGACUCGAUUCAGGGCACCUUACGAGGCUAGCGGUAAAAGUGACUUAUGUUCAGGGCACCGUAUGAACCCGGCGAAAAUUUGCAUGCGUAAAUCACCCUUUUUCAUGAAAUGCUUGUAUUUUUUUCGGGUUUGCGCACGAUCUAGAUGGCUCAUUAACUUCAACGUGGCGUCAAGAGAUGCAGAAUUAAAUUCUCCAUCGGAUUGUAUUUGUUUGUUGCAGCAAUUCGACCGGCAACCUGCGAAAAUUUGCAAAAAAGGGAUUUCGCACCUGAGUCUGACAUCGUAGAAGGACCAUUCUGGUAUCAGAUUGGAUUUUGCACCUGAGUCUGACAUCGUAGAAGGACCUUUCGGGUAUCAGGUUGGAUUUUGCACCUGAGUCUGACAUCGUAGAAGGACCAUUCUUGUAUCAGAUUGGAUUUUGCACCUGAGUCUGACAUCGUAGACGGACCAUUCUUGCAUCACAUUGGAUUUUGCACCUGAGUCUGACAUCGUAGACGGACCAUUCUUGCAUCAGAUUGGAUUUUGCACCUGAGUCUGACAUCGUAGACGGACCAUUCUUGCAUCACAUUGGAUUUCGCACCUGAGUCUGACAUCGUAGACGGACCAUUCUUGCAUCACAUUGGAUUUUGCACCUGAGUCUGACAUCGUAGACGGACCAUUCUUGCAUCAGAUUGGAUUUUGCACCUGAGUUCGACAUCGUAGAAGGACCAUUCUUGCAUCAGAUUGUUAUUAUUAAAUUUCAUUAUCUUAAAUAACUUUUGUGAUUAUUACAUAAAUUGACUUCCAAAAUGUA
Dalotia coriaria is the source of this 1495-nucleotide long non-coding RNA. RefSeq lists it as uncharacterized. The record is from RefSeq and is a predicted model, not a curated record. Lineage: Eukaryota; Metazoa; Arthropoda; Insecta; Coleoptera; Staphylinidae. The transcript is spliced from 10 exons.